CGUGAGUCUGAUCCAACACUG
RNAcentral lists this microRNA (21 nucleotides) under Human betaherpesvirus 5. RNAcentral describes it as "hcmv-miR-US5-1". Lineage: Duplodnaviria; Heunggongvirae; Peploviricota; Herviviricetes; Herpesvirales; Orthoherpesviridae. The record is from RNAcentral.